CUUCACCGACCCCAGCCACAGCGGCCGUUCGGGGUCGCGCUCCUCCCCGUAGGUGGCGAGCAGCGCCUGCGCCUC
Molecule: non-coding RNA, 75 nt
Organism: Streptomyces sp. NRRL B-1568
Lineage: Bacteria; Bacillati; Actinomycetota; Actinomycetes; Kitasatosporales; Streptomycetaceae
Source: Rfam